CCUACGGGGGGCUGCAGUGGGGAAUAUUGGACAAUGGGCGAAAGCCUGAUCCAGCCAUACCGCGUGUGUGAAGAAGGCCUUCGGGUUGUAAAGCACUUUCAGUGGGGAAGAAAGCCUUGGGGCUAAUACCCUCGAGGAAGGACAUCACCCACAGAAGAAGCACCGGCUAACUCCGUGCCAGCAGCCGCGGUAAUACGGAGGGUGCGAGCGUUAAUCGGAAUUACUGGGCGUAAAGCGCGCGUAGGCGGUCUGAUAAGCCGGUUGUGAAAGCCCCGGGCUCAACCUGGGAACGGCAUCCGGAACUGUCAGGCUAGAGUGCAGGAGAGGAAGGUAGAAUUCCCGGUGUAGCGGUGAAAUGCGUAGAGAUCGGGAGGAAUACCAGUGGCGAAGGCGGUCUUCUGGACUGACACUGACGCUGAGGUGCGAAAGCGUGGGUAGCAAACAGGAUUAGAUACCCGAGUAGUC
RNAcentral lists this ribosomal RNA (465 nucleotides) under Vreelandella stevensii. RNAcentral describes it as "partial 16S ribosomal RNA". It matches the Rfam family "Bacterial small subunit ribosomal RNA", at positions 338 to 795 of the family's 1533-position model. Lineage: Bacteria; Pseudomonadati; Pseudomonadota; Gammaproteobacteria; Oceanospirillales; Halomonadaceae. The record is from RNAcentral.